CUCUUUUUUUCUCUUUCUCUCAUUCUCGCGCUCCCUUACCCUUUCUCUCGCCCUCCCUAUCUCUCCCUGUUUUUCUCUCUCACUCCUCUCGCACUAGCUCUCGCUCUCCCUAUCUCUCUCCCUGUCUCUCUCUUUCUCUCUUUCUUUCUCUUUUUCUCAGUGUAAACACAUUCUGGCCAGGCCACAGCUCCCCUCAUGCUCUCACAUCACACUCCCCCUACAAGUCUCUGUUAACAUUCUCACUUUGUGAUUAGAGAGAUACCCUUCCAGGGCCACCCACGCCCAACUAACACCACACGCCAUCCCCUACAUAGAGUGUGAUGUGUGUGUGUCCCACAUUCAGCUUAAAAUCAUACUUCACAAAACCACAUUUAAUUCCACACAGUGUGCUCUCAGGCUUUAAAUGAAUGUGUAAUCACGUAGCUAGCUGUCGAGUCCAACUGGGAAACAAGACUGGGUUACGCUGAUCCAGGAUGUAGGGAACAGGGAACAGAACAAGCUGGUGAGUGACCUUACUUCCUGUCUGGUGUGACUCUUCAGAACUCCUGCUCCCAGACCCACCAAAGUGCCAACUGCCAACUCACACAGUCCCUCCAGCUUUAAUGUUUGUUUUAUUUAACCCUAAAAUUACUAAGGUAAGUUGACUGAGAAGAGAAUACAUUCUGAUUCACAGCACAGAAGAGGAGGAGAAAUAAGAGGAGAGGGGUUGGAUGAGCCAAUUGGAAGGUGAGAAUAAUUAGGUGAUGGUCAUGAUAGUAUGAGGGCCAGGUUGAGAAUUUAGCCUGGAAACCAAGGUUAACACCCAUACUGCUACAUGUUAUUUAUUUAGCCUGGACACCAGGGUUAACACCCAUACUACUACAUGUUGUUUAGCCUGGACACCAGGGUUAUCACCCAUACUACUACAUGUUGUUUAUUUAGCCAGGACACCAGGGUUAACACCCAUACUACUACAUGUUGUUUAUUUAGCCUGGACACCAGGGUUAACACCCAUACUACUACAUGUUGUUUAUUUAGCCAGGACACCAGGGUUAACACCAAUACGACUACAUGUUGUUUAUUUAGCCUGGACACCAGGGUUAUCACCCAUACUACUACAUGUUGUUUAUUUAGCCAGGACACCAGGGUUAACACCCAUACUACACAUGUUGUUUAGCCUGGACACCAGGGUUAUCACCCAUACUACUACAUGUUGUUUAUUUAGCCUGGACACCAGGGUUAUCACCCAUACUACUACAUGUUGUUUAUUUAGCCAGGACACCAGGGUUAUCACCCAUACUACUACAUGUUGUUUAUUUAGCCUGGACACCAGGGUUAUCACCCAUACUACUACAUGUUGUUUAUUUAGCCUGGACACCAGGGUUAUCACCCAUACUACUACAUGUUGUUUAUUUAGCCUGGACACCAGGGUUAACACCCAUACUACACAUGUUGUUUAGCCUGGACACCAGGGUUAUCACCCAUACUACUACAUGUUGUUUAUUUAGCCUGGAUACCAGGGUUAACACCCAUACUUACUGUGACUCGGUUUGACAUCUUAUUCUUAGGGCAACACCGUUUGAAGGGUGUAAGUCCAUGACUAUCCAGCCACCACCCUCUAACCUCCCCCACCGUUCCCUCCUUCUUUCCCUCCCUUUCUCUUCCCAUUGUCUCAAGGAGAAAGUGAGGCCUGCCUUGUUUCAGAAACAGUCAGACAAGUGUCAACGUCUCCUGUGGAUCACAUUGCAUGUGGAGCGCAGCCAUGUGGACAAAUUAAGCAUCCUGACUGGUUGCAUCACUGCCUGGUAUUGCAACUGCCCGGGCUCCGACCGCAAGGCACUACAAAGGGUAGUGUAUACGGCCCAGUACAUCACUGGGGCCAAGCUUCCUGCCAUCCACAACCUCUAUAUCAGGCGGUGUCAGAGGAAGGCCCUAAAAAUGGUCAAAGACUCCAGCCACCCUGUCAUAGACUGUUCUCUCUGCUACCACACGACAAGCGAUACCCGAGCGCCAAGUCGAGGUCCAGGGCUUCUUAGCAGCUUCUACCCCCACCCCUCUUUUAUACAGCUGCUACUCUCUGUUUAUUAUCUAUGCAUAGUCACUUUACCAACAUGUACAUAUUACUUCAAUUACCUCAACUAUACGGUGCCUCAGCACAUUGACUCUGUACCGGUACCCCCUGUAUAAAGCCUCGCUUGUUAUUUUACUGCUGCUGUUUAAAUAUUUCUUACUUUUAUUUUCUAUUUUUUACUUAUCUAUUUUUUACUUAAUGCUUAUUUUUAUUAACUUCUUAAAGCAUUGUCGGUUAAGGGCUUGUAAGUAAGUUGUAUUCGGCGC
This 2316-nucleotide long non-coding RNA is filed under the name Salmo salar (Atlantic salmon). RNAcentral describes it as "lncRNA (ENSSSAG00000090065.1)". Lineage: Eukaryota; Metazoa; Chordata; Actinopteri; Salmoniformes; Salmonidae. The record is from RNAcentral.